CUGCUAGAACCUGGAGGGGUACAAAAACAGAAAAUGUGAGUGAGUGAAACGAAACUCUUCAAACCAAUUCCAACUACCAAAGAUAGUAGCCCCUCGCCGCAAUACCUGUUUAAUUUCCCGGAAAAUAACAGGCAUGAUUAUAAAUCAAAACCAUAACCAAAAUGAUAGUCUUACGGUUAUGCUUUGUCAAAUAUCUUAACGGAAUGAGUAACCCAAGUGAAAUAAACUAAUAGGAAAUGGCAUGUUAGCCGGAACCACCCAUCAUGUACGGUUGAAUCAAUAUCUCAUCCCAUAUAUGCUAGCAGCUCAUCACCAAUCUCAUCAUAAGUAUAUACUAGCAUCUCAUCAUAUAUCAUCACAUAUAUGCUAGCAUCUCAUCACAUAUCUCAUCAUAAAUAUAUGCUAGCAUUUAAUCACAUAUCUCGUCAUAAAUAUAUGCUAGCAUUUCAUCACAUAUCUCAUCAUAAAUAUAUGCUAGCAUCUCAUCAUAUAUCAUCACAUAUAUGCUAGCAUCUCAUCACAUAUCUCAUCUCAUCACAUAUCUCAUCAUAAAUAUAUGCUAGCAUUUCAUCACAUAUCAUCACAUAUAUGCUAGUAUCUCAUCACAUAUCUCGUCAUAAAUAUAUACUAGUAUUUCAUCACAUAUCUCUUCAUAAAUAUAUGCUAGCAUCUCAUCAUAUACUAGCCGGAGUCACUUCACGUGACUUGUACGGCAUAUUCAUAUCUCAUCAAUUAAUCUAGCCGGAGUCACCUAUAGUGACCUAUACGGCAUAUUCGUAUCUCAUCAAUCAAUCUAGCCGGAGUCACCUAUAGUGACCUAUACGACAUUAUGCCUGCACACGAGUCGGAACCACUGUAGUGGUCUGUAUGACAGGACUGGGUGUAAAUGAAUAUGCUCAAGUGCUACGAUCAUGUGAAAAGUCACCUACGAGUCGGAAUCACUUAUAGUGGUCUGUACGACAGGCUUGUGCACCUACCUUGAAUUCAAGGUGAGCGUAUGGUGCGGGAGGUGAACAUUACGUGAAAGGGCUGUGCCCUGGCCACGGGCAGAUGCACUAACACCGGGGUGCAGGUUUAUGAGCUUUAAAUGCAUCUAAUACAACAUGUACGAUUCAUAAGCAACCUGUACGACAAUGCCGGAAUUGCUUAAAACAUAAAUGUAGUCAUACCAUAACCCCAUCAAUUCAACUAAUACCGUAUACUUACCUGAACUUACCUGAACUUACUUGUGUGUUCGGCAUUCACCUUUGCACUUCGGAGCGUUCACAAUAAUUAUGCGCAAGGAAUAUACAGAUGGAAAUACCAGAAUGUAAGUUUGGAAUUCAACAUAUCAUAAUAUUUCUAGAUAUAUAUAAACAUAUAAACAAAUGGUCUAGAAUGCAUAAACUGUAAUGCCCCAUUCCUAAACUAGGCUAUUGUCUUGAUUAUUCAUUCUCAUUUAUUAUAUGGCUCUCAUUAGACUGCCUACGUACCCUAAACCAGGAUCAAGCCAUUCGUAGUUCGCAAUAGCACUUCAAAGCAUUCACAAUAAUUAUACGCCAUAAGAAAUUUUUUAAACGUUGUGGAAUUGUCAAUCACACACACACACACAUAUAUAUAUAUAUAUAAUGUACGGUAAAAAGGAAAAUACCCACUUAACUGAGGUUCGCGUUACGACUCCCUAGCACGCAUAUCGAGACAUCACGAACCAUCGUUGCCUAUGACCAAUUAUCAAUUCACAUUUCAGAGUUCUUAUCGAUAGAAUACAUAAUUUACAUAAAACACAUUCCUAUGUAAUUUAAUUUGGAAGAUCCGCAUCACUGAUUUCCGAUCUGUUGCUUCCAAAGAUCCACAUUAUACUUCUAGAACAACAUUCUAAAGUUUCAAUAUGAUCCAACGGUCGGAUCUCUGCCAAUUGCCAAAACCAAGUGGUGGUCAAUAUUUUAUUUUAUAAAUUUACAAAUCCAAUUCGGGAAGAUCCGUACGUCGGAUUCCCAAUCCGUAAGUUUCUAUGAUUCUCGAAUAUUACGUACUAUAAUGUAGUAAAGUUUGGUGACGAUCCAACGGUCGGAUCUCGAUUACUAUCCUAAUAAAGUGGUAGACCUUAGUGGAACUUUGCCGGAUUUUGCAGAUUUUGCAGAUUUCCUGGGCGAUCUUUGGAACUCCAUAUCUCACUUGUUUCUCAACCAAAUUCAACCCAUAAUAUACCAAAUCGAAGCUAGAGAAAUGUAGAAAAAAAUUAUACUAGCUUGGAGUCCAAAUGGUGGCCAGAUGUAGCCAGACAAAUGGUCUGAAAGACGACUGUCUGCGGGAAAACUGGUAACUCGCCAGAAUUUCUAGGCAACCUUACACGAUAGCUAUCUGGCCGUGAUUUGGCCGGAAAAUUCCUCGAAAGUGGUGGAGGUCACCGGAAACUGCUACUAAGGCCAAUUGGGCCGAAACACCUCAAAUCACCACGAAUUGUACGAAACCCUCGAUUUGGGUAGUUGUCAAUUCAUCACCAAAACGAACUCUGACGCCUUAUCCAAUGUUUGGUCCUUGUUCUAGGGUUCUAGGGGAGUCUAAUGGUAGUGGUGGUUGAUGGGAUUUACUUCAGAAAUGGCGGAUUGCCGCCACACCACCUUCGGCGCACCCCCUUGAAAAACCUUUAAAUUACUCUCAGAUUCCUUCCAAAUCUGGGUGAAAAUGGGAAAAAGGAAGGAUUAGAUGAUGAUUGGGAGUGGUGGCUUGGUCCACUUCUUGAGAAAUCCGGUGGAAAACCACCGGAAAGUAUGGUGAAAACGGGUCGAAGGGUGCGGGUCAAGGAUCUGGCCGAUCCCCUCUUCUUUUCCCUCUCUCCUUUCCCUCCUUUCUCCUCCUCCUAAUUGGUCCCCUCACCCUCCUUUAAAAAUCUGAUUGGCUUCCUCCCCACAAAAUGGGAGCUCCAAUUAUUUAACUAACUUUAAAUAAAAAAUUUCAAACGCCUGUAACUAUAUCGUUAUAAUUCGGACUCGUAAGCGACUUUCGCCUAUGCGUUCGUAUCAACGAGUACUACACAAAUAAGCUGAAAGAAUAACUCAUACGUUCCUCUAGACGAUGGUCAACAAAAGUCAAAAUCCUUGCCUCUAGGGCAUUUCCGUCAAUUCCCUUAAUUAAAAUAAAUAAAAAUGAAAAUUUUAGGAACGGGUUGUCACAUACUAUUUGAAUUUUAAAAUGUUAUAUUUCUUAAAAAAAUGGAAAUAAGGAUUUCACAAUAAAAAAAAAACUCUGAAAUCAUGUCUUUUAAUACUCAACGAAAUUCAUAAUUGUUGUAGGUAAUAAUAAAAUUCAUUAACAUAAUUAGGGUAUUGUGGCAUAAGUUGUAAAUAAUUUAUAAUAAUAGGUUACUUAUUUCCCACAUUCAACAAGUUUAAAUUUUAGGUUUUAUUAGAAUGUUGAAAGAUAGAUGGGUUUAAGUUUAGGAAAUAACAGUUACAAGGCCAUGUCCAACCGAAGGGGGGCCAGAGGGCUCAUUUUAGCAUUUUAAUGAACAGUGUCAGACCAUAUUUCUUACCAUCUCCAACCAAGAGGCCAAAAGGCCAUAGGCCAAAUAUAGCCUUGUGACAAAAAAUCAUCUCUAACCGAGGGGGCCAUAAGCCAAACAUAAUUUAUUAAUUGAAUUGAAUUAACAUGGUUACUUAAAUUAAACUACCUCGAUAAUUUUUCGAGAUGAAAUCUCAAUAAUUUUACGUCUUGAAUUUCAAGUGCCACAUGUCGAUAUGUGAGUAACUUUGCAGAUUUCGUGUCGAUAAGGAAUCUCAAUAAUUUUACGUCUCGGAUUUCGAGUGCCACAUGUCGAUAUGUGAGUAACUCUCCAAAUUUCUUGUCAAUAUGUAAUCUCAAUAUUUUUUCGAAUAGGAUUUUGAGUGUCAUGUGUCAAGAUGUAAUUGGUUGUGGGAAUUUUAGAUAGGAUUUUUAUCUGCAUGAUACUUCUUAUCUUCAGCUUCCAAUGUCCAUAAAUAAGGUGGAUAUUGGCCUAUAAUUCACACACCUUCAGCUUUGCUGUCUCCAAUAUCUCUUUCAAUUCAAGUUUGCAAUGAAUUCCAACUUUGGAUCCUCUUCGGAUUCCAACUGGGGGUCAUCAUCCAAUUCUGAAUUGGAAGAUAAAUAGGCGCAUAUGAGAUGAGAAGAUGAGGAGUCUGAUGAAGAAGAUGAAACAUGGCGCAAUACAUCAUAUAUGGCAGCCAUGGCGUUUUAAGUUUUAUGUUGUUAAAUGUUUUUUUUUUUUAAUGUUGUUUAAGUUUCAUGUUGUUAAAUGUUUUUUUUUUAAUGUUGUUUAAGUUUCAUGUUGUUUAAUAUUGUUUAAUGUUUUUUAAGUUUGAUGUUAUUUAAUGAUCUUCCGUAUUGUUUAAUGGCUUAGGUAGUUAUAGGGAAAAAAAAUUAGAAUUUUUUUUUAAAAUUUUGUCCCAAAACAAAAAAAAAAGCAAAUCCAACGUCUACCUGGCAUCACGCUGACGUCAGCUAGCUGUUGCAAUUCAAACCUUGGGCCAGCUAGGGGCUGGCUAGAUGGAUUGGGCCAGCCGGUUGGCUUGAUUUGGUAGUUUUGGCUUGGUGGGGCCCACGAGCACUUUGGCCUAGCCAUCGGUUGGAGACGGUUUUCGUGUCAUUUCGGGCUAUUUUUAGCCUUAUGACCCUCUGGCCGGAUCGGUUGGAGAUGGCCUAAAGUGUUGCAUCUUACGAGGUGGGCCUUCGAGUUAUCAGUUCUUGUGUUUUUAGGAAAACUAAUGAAAAGAGCUUGAAAACUUUGAGUUAUAACAAUAAGUUCCCUUAGUUUUUCGUAACAAGGUAAGCUUGUUUGUGUUAAGGGUAAAACUAAGGAGAUUAAAUUUAUAAACAAAAUUUACAAACUAAAUAAUGUGUCACCAAUAUAAAUGAGCACAUUUAAUAAUGCUUAAGUAAUAAACCAAUCAUCAACUUUCAUAUCCUUUAGUUUCCUAAAUUUUUUUCUACAAAUUUAGUUUUUCUAGUAUUAUCCUCGUGUUAAACUAUUAAUCGGGGCAAAGCAGAAACAACCCGGCCAAUUAAAAAGAAAAAAUAAAAUAAAUUUUAAGUUUACAUCUCUUUCAUCAAAAUAAAACUCACAUUCAUAUCAUUGAAAAAAAAAUAGAGAUGUGAAUAGGAUGUGAACGGAUUUGGUAGUUGGAGCAUUGCUCUUAAUAUCUUACAUGGACAAAUUAUAUAAAGACUAUGUUUAAGAGAUGACAUGACACAAUUGUUCCCAAAUUUUAGUCAAACAAGCAAACCACACAAACAAUUUACUACGAGAUAUUCAAACCAAACGAUGCAGCAUGUUGGUCCAAUGAAAAAGCCACGAUGGUCCAAUUUCCAAUUAUAUAUACAUCAAAUCGAUUAUUUGGACAUGACCAAUGAAUAAAAAUGUCAUGCACGUGGUCAAACAAACAACCAUUUCAAGUCAAAGUAUCAAUUACCAUAUUAUGUGAGUGAUUUCCAAUCGUGCUUCCGUUUGGUGCCGCCCAUUCUAGCUGCGGCUAGGAUCGAUUGGUGGUUUUUUGUAUUUGCUUUUUCUUUCUUCUCCCCUUCCAUUUGCUGAUGGUUUUUUCCUUUUCCUCUGGUUUUUUUGCUUUUGUUUUUUCUUUCUUCUCCCCUUCCAUCUGCUGAUGGUUCUUCUCCUUUUCCUCUUUGGCUUUUCCCAUCCCUCAACCCCCAUGGGUAUCACUUUUCAUGGCCCUUCCGUGCUUUGUUUUUCAGCCAUGGUUUCUGUAGAGUUCGUGUGUAGAGUUCCGGUGUUGUAUCCGGCUCUGGUGUUUCCCACACCACCACGUUCUCCUUGUUGUCUACCGUUUGCAGCGGUGUUGCUCGGGAUUUUCCCUGAGCUUCUUUCCAAUGGUUGGCUUCUCGCUUGCCGACUAUCUCUUGUUGAUGGCUGUGUGCAAGUGGCACCUGUGGAGGUGAUGAUCGGCGGUGGACAAAGGAUUGGAUGGCUUGCUGCUUCUCGGAUUGGCGGUGGAGAGCACAUUGGAUGUUUCUCAGAUGUUUGUUUUUGUUUGGGCUUCACUGUCGUUGGGCUCAUUUUAUAUGUUUUCUUUGUUUUUAAGCCCGUUCUUUGUUUGUUUCUAAGAAUAAACUGAGCCUUUGUUUUGUUUGUAAGUGUGUUUGUUUUAAUAAAAGCUUCUCGUUGGUGAUUCAAAAAAAGAAAAGAAAAAAAGUAUCAAUUACCACACAACCUCAAAAAAGUCUUUUAACUUCCCAGAAAUUGCGUUGUAGAUAAGUGGGUGACAAUCCGGAUUGCGGGAUUGAUGAAGGAUGGAGCCGAUUGGAAAGGAGAGGGAGUGGAUUGGUGAAAAUCAUGGAGGUGGAAGGAAGGGAAAAACGGAAGUAGGGGCAAGAACAGUUAAAUCAGAUGCAAAAGGGGUUUGAGGGAAGGGGCCAAAGGGCAGGGGAUAACAGAGGCUGAGGGACAAAGAAAGAAAAAGAAAAAAAAAAGAAAGGAGGAGAAAAUGACUGCCACCGACCCUAGUCGUAGCUAGGGCCGACGGCUAUGAGAGAAGAAAGCGAAGGAAAGUCACUCAUACACCAGUAAGAAAAGCCCUCACAGAAAGAGAAUCUCUCUCACCAAACGGGAGAGAAUACAUUUGGAUAUAUGAUUAAAUGAUCAUAACAUAUAACACUUCCCAUUCGAUGAAAUUGAACUAUGAAUUUGAACGUAAUUUUAACUCAUACUUCACUCUGAGCACCACUUGAACAUACAUUAAGAGCUUUCAGUACCAACAUACAUUUUCAAAUUGAUUUGAAAUUCUUUUGGUAUUUCAUUAGAAAACGUAAAAUGACCCUCUGUAGAUUUCGAACUCCCACCAAAUGAUUUCGAACUAAACUUAAAAUUUGGCAUACAUAUUAUUGUAAGGAGGGGAUCAUUGUGGUGAAUUUUCCUGAAAUAGGACCUAAGAUGUUGAGCGUGUGAAUCCCCAUCCCACAUCGGGAAAUUGAGGAACCUUACGCCGAGUUGGUCUAUUCUCCUAUUGCUAAUUAAUUUUGAGGUGAAACCUCAACUUUCUACUACAUAUCGUACGUUAUCAUCCACAUAUGAAAUAAGACAACAGAACAUAUAGCAACUUAAAACCCAGCAAGAACAACCCACCUCCCAUAAACUCUAUAAUUCUAAAUAUGAUUAAGAUCAACAUGACAAUAUCAAGAAGAUUGGUUGCAUACUUAUAUUUCACAUCGUAUAUUAUCUGAUACCAUAUUACAAAGAAACAUAUACUAAUUAUUUUCUGUGAUCGAUCGAUCCUAAGAGAACUGUAUAUAGUUCCUAAUUAAGCAAUCGAAUGAAAUCCAACCAAAUUCAGUUUGUUUCUUUUAUCUAAGACUAGUCUGUGAGUGCUUGAGAGCCUCCUUGCUUGAUCUACUCCCCGUUGUCCGUAGAAGCUUCGACCAAAACCCUCUUUUCUUCUUCUUCCCACUACUAUUCUUGUGAUGAUCUCCGAAACGAUGAUGACUUGUCUUCGAAACGACGGCAACCGAUCUGCUCUUCUUCAUCGGCCCAUGACCACCACCACCAGUUGUAGGAACACAAGUCGUACUACUACUCCUUAUCAUAAAAGAAACCGAACCCAAAACAUUCAUAUGGGAACUAUUACGUCGACGAUGAUCUGGGCCGCUGCCCGCCACCGGCGGUGGAGAGUUACAAGUGGAGGAGGAAGCAGAAGAGAAGUCGGGUUGAUCGUGUGAAGAAGGACCAUUAACUUGGAGUCUGUCUGUGAGAUAUGUUGAGGAGGGAGCGUAGAGCUGAGAAAGCUUCUCACUGAGACAAGCGGAACAAACGCCUGGUGAUAUUAGGGUUUGCUUAUUAUCGGCGGCGUAGUACUGGAACUGUUGGUGCUUCUUGCAUCCUCUCUGUGAUUCCGACCAACCCAUAGUUUUGAAAUUUGGUCUGAAAUUCUAUGCGCUUAAUUGGUAUGCACGAGAGAAUUCCUCGUUUUAUAGAGAGAAGAGGAUUGGGUUGCUUUCUAGGUACGAUUCAUUUGUUUAUAUCAAAAAAAGACGCACGGACGUAGUAAUUUGCCACGGACAUUCGUUGUGUUACUCCAAGGUGCUUAGGCCUUGUUUGCUAGUUUGGGAGAGAUUUUUUUAGCGUGAUCGGUACACGGAGUGAUACAUCACGUAUUACUAUAUAAAUGAUGUGAUAUGUUUGCUAAAAAGUUAAUAACUUACAAAAUAAAAUUUCUCACUACUUAUAUUAAAAUACGUGAUGUACCACCUGUAUUCCCGUCACAAUGAAAAAUUUCUCCUAAUUUGGGUGAGACAUAAUGUGAAAUAAAAUGUUUACUUUGAAGUCUUUGGAAGACAAGUCUCUUUUUUCAAAAAAUUUUAAAGUUCUAUUUUCUUUUACAUGUGAGAAGACUUGAUUAAUAAUUUUUUUUCCUUUUUAAAAAAAACCCUAACCGUUAUUUAGAGAGAAAAAGAAAAGAAAAAAAUUCAUUAGCCUCGACAUUAAAUGUGACCUUGGGAUCCGCAACAAUCCUCCUUGAUCUUUUCUUUCUCUUAUGUGUUUCUUCGAUCUUCAAAUCAUCUUUACUCUCUAUUUGUGAGCACUCUUUCGCUUUGGCGAGAAGAGUUUUUGUGGUUGUGGCUACUUUCUCGUUCAGUCGAUGAGAGUCUUUAUAGUGUCCAUGGUUAUGGAUCAAACUUCAUAUUUUUGAGACAUAGCUAUUGUUCAGAGUUAGGUUGGUUUGUGCGCAGGGCAAAUAAUUUUGAAAAGGAAAGUCGGUGUUUAUUGGAGGUGACACAUAACAAUGCUUCUUUGCCGACGAUUGCAAAAUCAUCAAAGGGUGGUGUGGUCAUUUCCUCAUGAUGCGGUUAUAGUGGUCCUACAACUUGCAAAGUUUAGUCCUAAUGAAUUUAUCUUUUUUGUUGAUCAAAUAUAAGUUAUCUGUGAUCGUUGAGAAAUUACAUUCAUAAUGAAUUUGUUAUUGUGAAAUUGUGUGGCUUUACUGUGGCAUGUGCGACUUCUUACUCAUGUGUGACAUGAAUAUCCUAUAUAACAUUCUUGAUGGGUUUCUUAAUAAAUUUUUAUUAUCUCAAAAUUCUUUUUGAGUUAUAGGACAGCAAACAAAUAUAACACGUUGACAUAAGAAAGAUUAUUUGACUAGUAAAGGUGUGCACGUAAAGAAAAAUGUGUGUUGAAUGAAAGGUGGGAACAGGUGUGUGGUCCCUGAAGGUGGGCUGUCAAACCGAUGGACGGCUGUGAUGCCAAUAAAUACAAAAAAUGUAGGACCCAUAUUUAAGUUGGAACUUGGAAGGUGUUCACAAGUCCUGAUAGUUACUUGGAAGGGCAGGCAAUGAUGAGAGAGAGUGAGUCAAGAGUCAAAACUAGGUGCCGUCCGUGCGUGCGUGCGUGGGUGCUGCGUGUGCGUGGCCAAACGACAGAAACCACAAACGACGUGAGUGAUGAGUUAUGGGACGGCCGUGCACGUGAAAAGAAUACACGUUUCUCUCGAGCCAAGUAGGCUGUAACCUAAAUUACUUUUAAAUAUAAAAUUUGAUCAUUUAGGAUAGACUUGAUAUUGGUGUUGUAUUUUUGUGUUCGUGUUAUUUUCAUGAAUACUCAGAGAUCGUGUGUGUAAUAUCCGUUAAAAUAAAAGAAUAAUAGAUCCGAACUCGACUUGUUAAUAUUAACGGAUAAUAUGAUUCGAUCGGUUACCGUUAAAGAAAAUAUAUUUUAAAUUAAUAAAUAAUCAAAUGAAAAAUGUAAUACAAAAAACGUAAGUGAAAUCUAAGAACCCAGCUGUAAGGAUUUAAUUUCACAUAAGUGAGAUUAAAUCCUACAACUAUUGUUGUAGUAAAGUUUUUAAAUUAAUGUAGAAGUUUGAAUAUAUAUAUCAACUCUGAAUUCACGAUCAUAAUCCCAUAAAUUAUAGAUUUAAAUUUAACCGUUGAUUGUCGUUUAUUUUUACGCUUCAUUUUUUCUCAACGAAUUUCCUUUUUUGAUUUUUUUUCUUUAGAUUUUCGCUUUCUAAUAUGUAACUUUUUAGUAGAUGUUGAUAUCAUGUUUAGGUUUUUACGGUUAGUAAAAAUUUUGCUCAAAGUUUAUAAAGUCCCUAGAAAUUAUAUAACAUCGACUCAUAUUUUAGUUAACUCAAACAUCGGAACGUGAUAUCAACGAUCCAAAUCGUUCAUUUUUCUUCAUCUGCUAAAGAUCAUGUUUUCAAAAGAAAAAAAAAAAAUCUAAAUCCAGGUUUAAGGAUUAUGGUGUCAAAUUUCCUAGUUGAUGUGACAGCCCAUCCCGAGACAUUUUUUUUCUUGAUGGCGUGAAAUGUCGAUUCUACCCUUUUUAUUCUUGAGUUGUGUGUGUGUGUGUGUGUAUAACCUAAGGUUUUGGACCAAUAGGUUCUAUCCCUUAUUAUUUGGACUCAAUUAGAACUAAGGUUCAAAUUUUUUUGGUUUUGGUUGUUGUUAGUGACCCAAAACUGGACCACACACACCCACACACACACACACUCUCUCUCCCAUUGACCCUUUCUCUCUUCCCUCUCGGUUUUUCCUCCAUUUCCGUGCAGUACGUACGGACAAACCUCAAACCUGACAAUCCCAUGACACUAGGGUAACAGUCCUUUACAAUCCCUCAUGUUUAUUAAACCAUGAAAUGUAUAUUUCAAAACACAAUCCAAACAGUUCAAAUAUCCAACUCACAUAAUGUUUCAUAAGUAGAUCGAUGACAACUUUAUAAAAAGAAUUAUUUAGCAUAAGACCUAUUUUAAGAAUUCAUGGUGUAACCACAAAGUAUAUUAUAUUAGUAUGGAAGAUUUCAAAGUAAUAACCAUAUCACAUAGAUUAAAAUCACUCACCUGAGGUCCACACUAACGCACUCUAGCAUGGAAUUCAAGGCAUCAAGCUCUAUCACCGCCUAAAACAAAGCACAAUUCCACAUUUAGGUUUCUCUCGAUAAAUUCACAUACCCAAAACUCUCAUAAGUCUCCCACAACAACAUUUAAUGAGAACCAAACCGUCGAUCAAAGGUAUUGUCCAUGAUCUUACAUCACUUGCUCCGUAAGAUCCAACCACUAGAUUUUCACUAGUAAGUCCCUAAGGUCCUUAACAAUAUCUACAAUAGCAUACUAAAAUUUGGUGUCAAUUCAAUGGUAAGAUUGUCAAUUGUUAGAAUAUUCAAGUGGCGGACCUUAUCGAAAAUAUACUCAACCAACAACAUUUCAUAAAUCAAAUGUCACACAUCUAAAAUUCGACUUUUUCCAAAAAUUCUCAAAUUUUACAAGAAUGAAGAUCUCAACAAGUAGAGUAAACUUUAUACCUGAGGCCGAGUCCAAUUUGGCCGGGAAGACCCUCAAAUUGGCUCGCACCCGUCGAAACCCUAAGGUGGGUGUUCUUCAAUUCGGCUUCCUUGGUGUUCCUAUGCCCUAACCACCAGUUGGGUCUUGUUCCUAUGCCCCAACCCCUAUUUCGUGAGCUGCGUGGUCACGAAAUAGGGGGGAAAAUGUCACUUCCCUCAUCCCUAAUAUGUCCUUUCUAACCCUCUAAAAUCUGAUUGGUUUUUUUUUAUUUUUUAUUUUUUUAUUAUUAUUAUAAAAAAACUAACUUAACCUUUAACCCACAAUCUAUAGUUCACAACUUCAAACAUCCGUAACUAUACUGUUAUAAUUCGGACUCGCAAAUGGCAUUCGCCUAUGCGUUCGUGGGUACGAGAUCUAUUUAAAAACACUAGUUGUAACUUCGAAAUGUCAACGAAAGAUAAAGAUUGAUUAUGAAACUUCCAACUCGAUAACUAAAUUACUAAACUUAAAAUUAACAUAAUUAAAAUUAACUAAUAAAGAUAACGUAAUCGUGAAAUACGAAUUUAAAAUACGAGAUACGUAAUAAAUGGUGAAAUUUCGAGGAUGGGAUUUCCCAGCGUGGGUGGUCAGAAAUUUUUUCUAAACAUAGGGGGAUGUUCCUGAGGUUGAGUAGGUCUCAGUGGUAUAUUCAAAUACCCCAUUUGAGCAUUAUAUGAGAAUUUAUUCCCUAGCUUUGUGUAUGUGCUUUAAAUAACGUUUAUUCAGUUAUUUCGCAUAUAGGUAAGAUCUAUCCUGAGGACGAGCGCCAUCAAUUGAGACUAGCGAACUAUGACCCUUUGACAUAUCAGUGAGUGGGCUUUUGGUUUUCCGUAUAUACCUAUAUACUUGAGUUUUUCCCAGAAAAUGAAAUUGAAUGAUUAUAUGUUUUGAAAUGCCAUGCAAAGUAUCUGCCUAUUUUAUUUAUGCAUUAGUAGUUACAUAUAUUUAUGGUUGGUGCUGUGGACGCACAGGUAAGUGCCAGGUAAGUUCAUAAAUUAACGGUUGAGGUUGCUUCAGUUAUGUGAGAUAUGAUGUGAUGUAUUGAGAGCUUAUAAACCUGCACCCCGGUGUUAGUGCUCCCGCCUAGAGUUAGGGCAUAGUCAUUCACAUGAUGUUCACCUCUCGCACCAUAUGCUCACCUUGGAUCCAAGUUAGGUGCACAUGCUUGUCGUAAAGACCACUUUAGGUAGUUCCGACUCGUAGGUGACACGUGAUUAUUCGCAUAGCAUUCACGUGAUCGUAGCACUAGAGCAUAUUUACUUUACACCUAGUCUUGUCGUACAUACCACUUUAGGUGGUUCUGACUCGUGUACAUAAUUUGAUUUGAUAUGAUUGAGAUUGGUUAUGAGCUAUAUACUCAGCCGUGUAGUUUGAGUUAGAGAGAUUUGGCUGAUGCGAUAUUUGACAUUGAUAUAUUUUGCCUGGAUUACUUAUAGCAUUGCAUUGAGAUACCUUGGCACGGUAUACUUCUAUGGAUUUUCAUCUUGAGUAUCAUUUCUGAUACAACUUAUUAUUACUAUUAUUUUAUGGGAAAUUAUACAUGUUUUACGGCGAAGGGUUAGAACUUUUGAGAAAUGAAAUGAUUUUGAAAAGCUUUGUUUUUGCCUACUCACACUUUCUGUUUUGCGCCCCUCUAGGUUUUAGGUAGGAGUGCUUUGGUGGAUCACGAGGAUUUCAACGGUGGUUCUGACAGAGCAUAAUAAAUGUAAGAUCACCCAUGGGUGUUGUAUAAUUAGUACUUAUCCUGCUUGACUGCACUUAGACUAUUUAUGCUUUGGUUGUAUCUUUCACACUUAAUCUCGUUCUAGCACUUUAUCUUAGCUAGUACUCUAGUUGAUUUGGUUUUUAUUAUCCGUAAUUCCUUAUAUCUCUAUUGCUUCCGCACUGUGCACUAGGCUACGUCACCCUCACGUGACGGCCAACACGCGCUGAUUUAGGUCAGGGUGUGUCAGUUGACCCCUUCACGAACGUUGUAAAGCUUAUCAUUACGACUGGUUGUAUAUAUAUGUUUUUUAUUUUUCACAAUUCUACAUUAUUUAUUAUUGAUUUUUCACUCAAACACUAAAACUAUUCAUGAGGGUUUGAAGGGUUUUAAAAAUUUAAAUGAUUAUGUAACCAUGUCUAAGCAUAGAGGAUGCAAUCAGUUUGCAUAUUCUUUUCACAUUUCUCACUCUUUUACGCUAUUAUCAUGAAUUUUUAUUUAUUUUGAACUCCCCCUAACAAUCUUGUUCACCAGGGGUUGUAGGGUUUCAAAAAUCAAAUUUACUAUGUACCCAUUAUCAAAGCAUAGAUUAUGUGGCCACGACUGAUUGCAUUUUUUUUUUUACAUUUUUCACACUUGUAAAUUAAUUAUUAUAAUUUUAAUGUGCUUUGAUAUUUUUAAAUUGCGUUGGUAUUUUUUUUGUGCUUUGAAAAUUUUAAUCUCACUUGUGUGAGUAUAAAUAAUGUGCUAUUGUAGUAAAGUUUUUUUAGUAGUUUAAAAUUAUUAAACUAACUUUUUUUCUUAGUGGGUUCAAAUGGAAAAGGAUCAUUGCCGGAUUCUUUUCCUGGGGAUCCAAGGAAUCCUGUGAUUGUGGCCGUUCAUCGUACAUCGUGCGGUCAGAAAUCAUUUGAAAUUUAAAAUUUAAAAUUAAAUAUAAAUAGUACCUAACAAAAACUGACCGCACGAUGUACGAUGAACAGCCAUAAUCACGGUAUCCCUUAGAUCCCUAGAAAAAGGAUCCGGCAAGGAUCCUUUUUCGGUUCAAACGGGUUACUUGUGGGUUCAAGUGUGUGACCCAAUAACGACCUGAUUAGUUAACGUGUAGACUCGAAACCCGUUAUUUUUGUGUCUUUUUGGGUGAAGUUAACAGGUAAUGUAAGAAAUUUUCAGGUCUAAUCUUAGGAGACCAUCUAUUUAAAUUUUUUUUGUAAAUCAUAUGACGUGGUUGUUAAUGAUUAGGUUAUUAAGUGUUGAUUAAUGUUCUUUUUUUUUUCUAUUGGUGACCCGUCACAUAAUUUACAAAUUUGGUCUAAUAAGUUGGUCUUUGUACCUAGCAUAAUUCAUUCGCGUGCCCAUUAAAAGGAGAAUGUAAGGAUGUAUUCGGUUUCAUUCAGUUCAGUUGAGAAUCAAUCCAAAAUACUAUUUAGUUCGGUUUUCUUCAAUUUUUUUUCGGUUCAAUUUUUUUUUAUAUCCAAAUUGAAAUUAUUAAACAAAAAUUUGAAAAAAAAAGUUAGCUAUAAAUUAACCUUAUUUACCCAAAUCGAAAUCCAAAUAUCGAAAAUGGCUAAUCAUUCACAAAUUUAGUAGAAACUCAAUCUGGAAACCACCCGGCCACGAUCUAAUUAGUUAACAUGUAGACUCGAAACUUGAUAUUUUCAUGUCCUUUUGGGUCAGGUUAACCGAUAAUGUAAGAAAUUUCUAGGUCUAAUAUUAGGAGACCAAUUACUUAAAAUAAAUUUUGAAACCAUAUGACGUGGUUGUUAAUGAUUAGGUUAUUAAGUGUUGAUUAAUCUGCUUAUUUUCUAUUGGUGACCCAUCACAUAAUUUACAAAUUUAGUCUAUGUACCUAGCAUUAUCCAUUCGUGUGCCCAUUAGAAGGAGAAUGUAAGGAUGAAUGUAAGGAUGGAUUCAAUUUCAUUCAGUUCAGUUGAGAAUCAAACCGAAAUACUAUUUGGUUCGGUUUUCUUCAUUUUUUUUUUCGAUUCAAUUUUUUUUAUCGAAAUCAAAAUUAUUAAACAAAAAUUUGAAAAAAGUAGCAAAGAACAAACCUUAUUUUACCCAAGGCGAAAUCCACAUAUCGAAAACGGCUAGUCAUGCACAAGCAGAAACUCAAUCUGGAAACCACCCAGCCACGGUGAAAGCUAAGUCCAUUACCCCGUGGGCAUUAGGAUGUGAGGAAACUAAACGAAUGUCCAAUUGUUGCUGUUUGGAUUCUGGCGUUUGUAAGUGCAGAAGAUGAAGGUUGAAAGUUGUCAUUCUGCUGAAGAUUGUUGAUCAGAGGUUGAUGAAGGUAGAAGAGAUCGAGAAAUUAAUGGGCUUGGUUUCUUCAAAAGUUUCCGUGUUGAGUACUAAAGGAAUAAGAAGAGCAUUGAAGUUCAUAUCUGUGAGGGUGUUGAGUCUGCGAAAAAAGAGAAAGCCAGAGAACUUGUAAAACGAUAGGGGUGUUGUAAAACGAUGUUGUUUUAAGACAAAUCGGUUCGGUUCGGUUUACUUUGAUUUCCAAACUACUGAAACCGAAAAAAACCCAACAUAUUUCAAUUCAAAUAGGUUUUUCUAAAUUCUAUUUGAUUUUUCAUUGGAUUGGGUUUCGAACACACUCUUAGAAGAAUGACUUGUAUAACAUGAGUACAUUGUUACGGUGAAUGUCACACAAGUUUUUUUAAUUGGUAGAGGCGUUGCUGCACGUUUAUUUAGUUUCAAAUUUAUCUCUUUAAUUUUUAUUUUUUCAAAUUUUAAUUUCUAAUUUGUUGUUGUUGGUGGGUGAAUACAAUUCAACAACUACAACAAAUGUUCUAAAAAUUCUCACCUAGUUGCUUGCCAGUUGGUCACCGUCCUAAUUAAUUCCUAAGCAUUUGAAUAGGAUGCCUAGAGAUGCCUUGGUUGUGAGUAAGAGACUUGUUGAAUACUUGGCUAAACACUCAUUAUAUUCUGGUUCCCCAUGUUUUUAAUAUGUUUUUAUAAUUUCUAAUAUAUAUGUCAUUGUUGUAAACUUUCCUAGUUUAAGUGUGAUUGUGUAAAUCCUAGAUUAGAUUUGAUUCUAGUUAUCCUUUCCUAUUACAACUUGUAUUCCUUGGGGAUGAAAGAAUUUCUUAUUUCCUUUUACUACUAUAAAUAAAGGCACUACAUAGGAAUGAUAACACACAUAUUCCCCUACAAUUCUACAAACACAUCUCUCUCACUCUCUCUUCUCCUUGCCUCCGGCCCCCUUAGCCUUGUCAGAUAAAAUAGGCUAUAACACGUUAUCAACAUGCUCUUACCAUUGUGCUUAGGAAUUUGACAAGGAAAUUUUCUGCAUCAAACCAGUUCAUCCAUAUCAUCACACAAUCAGGUUCUUUCAAAACAACAGUUUUUAUCUCGAUAUUUUUGCAGCCCUGAUAGCAUGAACAUUCACCAUAAUGCAUGACCCAACUUUAUGUUUUUCGAAUUUUAGAUUCUACAUAAAUUGCAUAUGCAUUAUAUUCAUAAUUGUUGAAUUAUGUGAAUUUAAUCGACCAACGGAGAGGGGGUGAUGUGCCUUAUAUGUACAUGCUCCCCUCCCUAUAGCACGAGGCAUUUUGGGAACUCACUGGCUUCAGAUUCCAUCGGAACUUUGAAGUUAAGCGAGUUCGGGUGAUAGCAGUCCUAGGAUGGGUGACCCACUGGGAAGUUCUCGUCUGAGUUCCCAGAAACAAAUCCAUGAGAGAAUGGUAAGCCCAAAGCGGACAAUAUCGUGCUACGGCAGAGUCGAGUGUGGAGUGUGACACGGGAACCCUAGGGGUUCUUCGAACUCAUGACCCCGAUACAACUGGGCUCACACAAGCCCACUAUAGGUUGCGAAGCACCAGAGCAAAACCCUUGCUCCAUUUGAGAAGAUGCCUCUGGUAUCGAACCUUAACCCACGGUGCCACCUGAAGUCGGCUAUGGCUUCACCAUCGUUGUUCUUGGGAAAUCACACAUGUAGUUAUGAUUGGGACGUCGCCAUCGUCAGAGACGAUGUGUUUUUUUCUCAAAAAUCCGAGGAACAUCGAAGAAACUCUUCGACGGAUUCCUUGAAUCCUCACCGUUGUCGGACCUCCCCGACAUCGAAACCUCAUUUUUCUUCCACGAUUUGGGUUCCUAGUUGAACCCCCAUGCUUCGUUGUACCGUGACCCUUGAGGAAAGUUGCUUGAAGCGACGUCGGUGUUCUCCCGACCAUAUUCUGACACCCAGCGUUGUUGAGGUGUCUCGAACCUUUUCGACCUGAGCCCAA
RNAcentral lists this long non-coding RNA (17210 nucleotides) under Malus domestica (apple). Lineage: Eukaryota; Viridiplantae; Streptophyta; Magnoliopsida; Rosales; Rosaceae. The record is from RNAcentral.